Molecule: ribosomal RNA, 398 nt
Filed under: uncultured eukaryote
Lineage: Eukaryota
Description: SSU rRNA
Rfam family: Eukaryotic small subunit ribosomal RNA
Source: RNAcentral
AGCUCCAAUAGGAUAUAUCAAUGCUGUUGCAGUUAAAAAGCUCGUAGUUGAAUUUCUGGGAGGUUUUGUUGGUUCUGUUUUGGAGGUGAAAGCUUUCAAUUCAAGGACCCGCCUUCCAUCUUGUGGAAUCUCUGUUUGUUUUUUGGUUUACUCCAAGAGAUGAAUGGCCCACUCCGUCACUGAGAGCAAAUUGGAGUGCUCAAAGCAGGCUUUAUAGCUUUGAACAAAUUAGCUUGGAAUGACAAGAUAAGACUUUUGUUUUAUUUUGUUGGUUAUGAAAUGAAAGUAAUGAUUAACAGGAACAGUUGCGGGGGUACUCGUAUUGAAAGGUCAGAGGUGAAAUUCUUGGAUUCUUUCAAGACGAACGGCUGCGAAAGCAUUUACCAAGGAUGUUUUCA